Molecule: ribosomal RNA, 899 nt
Filed under: Bacillus amyloliquefaciens
Lineage: Bacteria; Bacillati; Bacillota; Bacilli; Caryophanales; Bacillaceae
Description: bacterial SSU rRNA
Rfam family: Bacterial small subunit ribosomal RNA
Source: RNAcentral
AUACAUGCAAGUCGAGCGGACAGAUGGGAGCUUGCUCCCUGAUGUUAGCGGCGGACGGGUGAGUAACACGUGGGUAACCUGCCUGUAAGACUGGGAUAACUCCGGGAAACCGGGGCUAAUACCGGAUGGUUGUCUGAACCGCAUGGUUCAGACAUAAAAGGUGGCUUCGGCUACCACUUACAGAUGGACCCGCGGCGCAUUAGCUAGUUGGUGAGGUAACGGCUCACCAAGGCGACGAUGCGUAGCCGACCUGAGAGGGUGAUCGGCCACACUGGGACUGAGACACGGCCCAGACUCCUACGGGAGGCAGCAGUAGGGAAUCUUCCGCAAUGGACGAAAGUCUGACGGAGCAACGCCGCGUGAGUGAUGAAGGUUUUCGGAUCGUAAAGCUCUGUUGUUAGGGAAGAACAAGUGCCGUUCAAAUAGGGCGGCACCUUGACGGUACCUAACCAGAAAGCCACGGCUAACUACGUGCCAGCAGCCGCGGUAAUACGUAGGUGGCAAGCGUUGUCCGGAAUUAUUGGGCGUAAAGGGCUCGCAGGCGGUUUCUUAAGUCUGAUGUGAAAGCCCCCGGCUCAACCGGGGAGGGUCAUUGGAAACUGGGGAACUUGAGUGCAGAAGAGGAGAGUGGAAUUCCACGUGUAGCGGUGAAAUGCGUAGAGAUGUGGAGGAACACCAGUGGCGAAGGCGACUCUCUGGUCUGUAACUGACGCUGAGGAGCGAAAGCGUGGGGAGCGAACAGGAUUAGAUACCCUGGUAGUCCACGCCGUAAACGAUGAGUGCUAAGUGUUAGGGGUUUCCGCCCCUUAGUGCUGCAGCUAACGCAUUAAGCACUCCGCCUGGGGAGUACGGUCGCAAGACUGAAACUCAAAGGAAUUGACGGGGGCCCGCACAGCGGU